AGAGACAUACAUAUAACAAGGACAAACUAAAAUUGAAUAAUUACAAGUCACUUAGCAAGCAGCACUGCUGAUUUCAUAAAAAGACCUAAUUAAUUAAUCAUCACUAAGAGAGUACAACACUGAGCAUUCUGUCACCAUAUUUUUAGUUAGCCAGCAAAAUACUCUUGGUGUACAUGUCUCUGUCUAAACCCUCCCUGAAAAACAAACAGCAUCUUCUCCAAAAUUAAGGUGCAGCUGCAGCAGCAGUCAUGAAUUUCGUGGUGAUGAUGAAAGUUGAAUCUGCUACUUAAAAACUUUAAUGUAAUUUUCAUGGUUUUUUUCCUUUUCUGGGAAGUAAACCCGAGAUAGGUAGAGAGAAACCGGUCGAACAUACAUACAUCUGCAAAAAAAACAAAAACAAAGAACCUCUUGGCAUACAUAAAUUUAACAAGAUUUUAGGUGAACAAGCAUACAAAUUAAAAUGGUUAAAGAAAAAGUCAAGACGACAACAAAAAGGGACACAAACAUAUAUAUAAGUGAAAAAUUACAAGUGUUGUUGUUUAGCAGCGGAAUAUUGUUUGAGAGGAAUGAAGCCUGGUCCGACGCCUUCACUCUCUUUGUGAAAUUUGUUGUGUUUAUUCAUCGUCAUCAAGAUAUCAAUCAUGAUGAUUAUGAAUAGAUAAACAAACAUAAGAGAGUGAUUGUGUCGAGCCAGACAACAUUCCCCUCAAACUCACCACACACAUAUAUAUAAAUUUCUUCUUCAUCGGACCAAAAACUCUACAACCCUAACCCUAUUUUUUAUUUUUUUUUCAGCCUUUGAGAGGCUUUGAGAAAGAAAGAGAGAGGAGAAAAGUAUAUGAUGAUUAGGUACUCAAAAACCCUACGGAGAAAAGGAGACCCAACCCUGCUAAUUUAUAGGGGGAGAUCGAUACACCCUCAUGCCACCUCACUUUUCAUUUUUUUUUUUAAAUUAUUACUAUGGCUAGGUCAUUUAAUACAAGGAAAUAGUAAGUACUUAAUUCUCCUCCCACCUAUUUUAGUUGUCGUGCUUGCUAUGAUAUGGCCGAAUAAUUGUUAUUUUAAAGAAUUCAAAUACGAUUAAUUAUUUAUUUCGAUCUUUAUCUUUAACUUAACAAGGAGAUGAAGUAAUGAAGAUUACGGUAUUUUGAUAUGGAGAGAAAAAC
Molecule: long non-coding RNA, 1166 nt
Filed under: Capsicum annuum
Lineage: Eukaryota; Viridiplantae; Streptophyta; Magnoliopsida; Solanales; Solanaceae
Description: long non-coding RNA (CANN_LNC013146)
Source: RNAcentral